UACGUAGGGGGCUAGCGUUGUCUGGAUUCAUUGGGCGUAAAGCGCACGCAGGCGGCUUGGUAAGUCAUCGGUGAAAUCCCCCGGCUCAACCGGGGGGGGUCCGGCGAAACUGCCAGGCUUGAGGUCGGGAGGGGGAAGCGGAAUUCCGGGUGUAGUGGUGGAAUGCGCAGAUAUCAGGAGGAACACCGAUGGCGAAGGCAGCUCGCUGGAACGGUACUGACGCUGAGGCGCGAAAGCGUGGGGAGCGAACAGG
RNAcentral lists this ribosomal RNA (253 nucleotides) under uncultured bacterium. RNAcentral describes it as "partial 16S ribosomal RNA". It matches the Rfam family "Bacterial small subunit ribosomal RNA", at positions 524 to 776 of the family's 1533-position model. The record is from RNAcentral.